RNAcentral lists this long non-coding RNA (1096 nucleotides) under Carassius auratus (goldfish). RNAcentral's name for it is "lncRNA (ENSCARG00000026198.1)". Lineage: Eukaryota; Metazoa; Chordata; Actinopteri; Cypriniformes; Cyprinidae. The record is from RNAcentral.
CAUAAUUAUGAAAUCAUUUAUGUCAGUUCUCAUUUGAUAUUAUUGUCAGUACAAAUCUAUUUUACUGCGGAGUAAAGAAUUUAACGAAUACAUCAAAACCUAUGCCGUUAUUAGAUCUAUUUACAUGUGUCCCCUUGCAUUGUAAAUUCAAGUUCACAUUUUUUCCUUUUUUAAUCAACUUAGAGCAUAUUUGAGAUCCAUUUUAAUCUGCGUCUUGUAUGAAUUCAACAUGGUUAAAUGUGUCUCUGUUUCAUCAGUAAGGAUUUGUAGGUGUUUUGUGGUCUUAAUCACGUUGUACUACUAGUUUUAAAAGUGGAAUUUAGAUUUGCAUAAUAGACAGCCAGGGCUGUAUACUUUGUUGAAUUCAGUCUUUCAUGUGCGUCAAUGGCUGAAGUGCUCAGAAAUCAAUGCUCUGUCACUUUAAAUGAAGUGAAAGGUGGGUGUUGCCAUUGGGCGCAAAGAGCGAGAGCAGGGCGGGGACAAUAUUAAAUAUGUAUGAGUCUAGUUAUCCCUUAGAGACUCAACGCAGAUGAAUGAUACAGAUUUGGAAGAAACACGCACGGCCACCUCGCGUUAAUCACGUCUAAUUCCUCCGACACUUCCAGAGAAGUGUAAAUGGGCAGACUAGAGACGCUCAGUGGAUGAAGGCGACUUGACAGUGCAGACGAGCGCACGUCGCUUAAGCCACACAUAACAGUCUACUGGUUGCGAUUUUUGAAUUGGAUUUCAACUAUUUUGCACCCUAUCUCACCUUUGAGAUAUUGUUAUUGCUUUCCAAGCAUUUUUUCUUAAUUCACAGCCGAUAUGGACACCAUAUUGGACAACCUCGCUUCGGACAAACUUUUUCCCAAUUCCAACCUGUUGGACCUAGAGGAUCUGACAUGAGAGUGAUUUCUUAUCCAAUGUGCUGCCAGCUGGAAUCUGGAUCUGAAUCUGAGAAUAUGAACUGGCUUUAAAGUGCAGAUCUGCUGGGUUGGAGACAAAAUGAAGGCAAAAAUACAUCCUCACCCCACAUUCACAUGAAUGUCCCCUACAUUUAGGUAAAAAAAAGUCUGAUCUAGUGCAUAUGAGUUCAUGCAUGCCUCUUUGAAGAGAU